AGGGUGUCUAGAGUACUGUUCUUAGCAAGAUGGAAGAAUGAAGAAAUUUUCAGUGUUCUAAAACUGCAACUAGUCCUCAGCCUCUAUACUAGCAUCAAAAUGCAAAUGUAGUCUGCAUAGUUAUAAAGUUUUUGCAACCUAAAACAAUAUAAGUCUACACCUAAUGAAAUAACAGGGACAAAUCUGGGCUUCUGAGCUGAUUGUGGCUUGCAAACAGUCUGGCUAUAGGCAGUACCUGCUGCUGACAGAUUGUUCAACGAGAGAGGGCUCUGUAGGCCCAGAGGCUGUUGGAUCACAUUGAGUUCUUUGGCUAAAGGAUGAAAAAUUUUAGCCAAAGGGAAGAGUUUCUGUGGUCAAUAUAAAUUGCUUUUCUUAGCUCUUCCUUUGGUUGUUACAUUCACCUGGCUUGGGUGAUAAGGAAAUUCCAGGCAGGAAGCUGUUAUGCUAAUGAAGGGAAGUAAAAAACCCUGUGGAUUUCCAGGGCUCUGGAGGCAGCCGUUGAGGAGCAUCAUGAUCUUUCCAGAAAUCCUCUGCAAUGUUGUCUUACCCAGGUCUUCAUGUUGAGGACUGGUAUGCUCAGAAUCCAUCUGCUGGGUGAGGAUUAAAUAACCCGUGCUAAUGCAGUGUUAACAGCCAGUAACUUUACAAUGUCUGUGAAACUGGCUCUGCAUGGAGGUCACAGAAUGUGCUGCACUGGUUUUGCACAGGAAGGUUUUAGUGGCUGGAGGGGCUCUGUGAAAAGAAGAUCCAAUGCCAGCUGGCUCCAGGAUGGUCCAUCCACUGGCCAAGGUCAAGCCCAUUGGCAAUGGUGGCAGUGCCUCUGGAACAACGUACUUAAGAAGGGGGAAAAACUUCUGCAGCAGCAAUCACAGCCAGAGAAUGGAGGAGUGAGUGCACAUGACAGCAAGAGCCCUGCAAACACCAAAGUCAGUGAGAAGGAGGGGCAGGAGGAGCUCCAGGGGCUGGAGCAGAGAUUCCUCUGCAGCCCCUGGUGCAGACCCUGCUGAAGCAGCUGUGUCCCUGCAGCCCGUGGGGUUCCACAGCAGAGCAGAGAUCCACCUGCAGCCCAUGGAGGACCCCACUCUGGAGAAGAUAAAUGUGCCUGAAGGAGACUGUGAGCCUGUGGGAAACCUGUGCUGGAGCCGGCUUUUGGCAGGACCCCUGAAGAGAGGAGCCUGGAUGGGAGCAGGUUUGCUGGCAGCACUUGUGACCCCACAGGAGACCUACUGCAGAUCAGCCUGAUCCUGAAGGAUAGUAGGAAGGGAUUCAUGCUGGAAUAAUUUGUGAAGUCUGUGAGAAAAAUUCAUGUUGGAGAAGUUUGUGGAUGGCUGUGUCCCAGAGGAGGGACCUCACACUGGAGCAAAGGAGGACUGUGAGUAGUAAAGCAUGAACAGGACCUAUUCUCUACCCCUCUGCACCAGGAGGAAGGGGCAGAGAAAACCAAGAGACAAGUCUGGAAAGAAGGAAAGGGUGUGGGGAAGUUUGUGCUGAGUUGCCAAAAACCCUCCAAGAAACUGAGCAUCUGGAGAAAAUCUGAAGCAAAGGAUAGUGACCUUCCCAAGGACAAAACGCAUGAAUGGAUGGCAAAAAGAUCCACACAGCAACCUCAGUGCUGGCUCCUGUGCAGGUGGACAGCAACAGACCACUUAAAGAAUGCACACUUGGAACAGUAAGAAGCACUGCAAUGACCUUUUUGGUUUUUUCCUUUACAAACUGACAGGGGAAAGUGUAGAGUAUUGUAUAAGUCACUGCUUGUUUCGACUAGCACAGUUCUGGUGCACAGUGAGCAGAGUGACAAAAUUCCUGUGCUCAGUUACAGAGAUGACUUUCCCUUGGAAAGGGUGGUUCAGGGCAGCUGAGUCAACCUUCACCCACGGCCACAGACCUCAGAAAACAGGGCAGCCACUGCUACAGCAGCAGGUAUGACAGCAGACCUCUUCCCACUUUUAUGGCCUAACACAAAGCAUGCCAUCCUCUCCCCUCUUGAUAGUUCAAGAGGCCAUCAUUUCACCAGCUCUUUAUUUAAUCCUGACUAAUCCUGGACUCAAGCCAGAGCCUUUUGUGUAGAUGAGGUGAAAACCUGAAGGACACACCACAAGAAAAAGGAAAGCAUAAUUUGAAAAGUAGCUGCUUUUACUCCAUAAUCUUGAGGCAAACCAGAUUACUGAAGCGCUAACUAAAUGGAAAUAUUUGUUUCUAAAAAGAGCAAAUUAUUUAAACUUAUUGCCAUUUUUCAAAGUAUAAAGACAUGAGCUUCCUCUCUUUUCCUCUCUGCAGACUUAUUCUUGCUGGCAGAAAAAAAAAAAGCCGUGACACUCAAACUUCACUACUGAAGUCUUUCAAAAGAAUUAGGUAUUUGGAUAUCUAUGCCACAGAUUUACCCUCAAAGAAUUUACCCUCAAAGAUGAAUGGAUUUUGACUAUCAAAAUAUCAGACAUGUAGAACUGUAAAAUCAUGGAAUCAUCAAGGUUGGAAAAGACCUCUAGGAAUGCCAAGUGCAACCAUCAGCCCAGCAAAUUGUAACUCUCAACCACUAACCCACAUCACCCAGCACCAAAUACAGAUGCCUCUUCAACACCUCCAGAGAUGGUGACUCCACCUGGGAUGGUAACUCCCAGGGCAGCGUAUUCCAAUGCCUGAUAUGCCCCUAAAAGUGAAUUUUUUUCUCUUUUCUAAUAUCUAACCUGAUUCUCCUGUCUCAGCUGGAGGCUAUUUCCUCUGAUCCUUUCACUUCAGGGACAGUAGAAGUGACCAACCCCCACCUCACUACAGCCUCCUUUCAGGGAGUUGAGGAGAGCAAUGAGGUCUCCCCUAAGCCUCCUCAUGACUAAACAAACCCAGCUCCCUCAGCAACUGCUUAUAAGGCAAGCUUCCUAGACCCUUCACAAACCUUGUUGCUCCGCACUGGACACACUCCAGCACUUCUAUCUCCUUAAUACCAAAUACCAACCUUAAUACUCAAUUUGUGUUCCCAUUUGUGCUUUGUUUUUAAUAAUUAUCUUCCCAUAAAACUAAAGAUCAAAGAUUUGACAGCCGACCAAACACCAAACUUAAGGACUGGAUUUUGCAAGUAGUUUGGAAAGAGUUAUCUGAAGCUGGGAAGUAUUAGGUCUCAGCUCUUCCUGUAAGCUGGUCAGCCUUUAUUUUUAGUUUUCAAUUGUCAAUAUUUCUUUUCCUUUUGUAAAGGAAGUUAAAAGUACUGCCAGUACUUGAAGCUGUAUUUACAAGUCCAGUGUGAUAUGAUACAAACAGGGUUGAUAAUUUUACGCAGCAUUCAGACUACUUCAGCUCCUUCAGAUGGCAGAACCUCUAAGAAAAAGACUAAAUGCUUAUAUCACUGAAGUUGCCACAGGUUUGCUGAUCUCAUGUUAGCUGAAAAACUGAGAACUCAGCUCCUUAGGGAAGGUGCAAGCCACCUUUCCAUAUUAAACUUUUAAUGCUACUUCCAGAUCAAGACUUUUAAAAAUCACUUUGUGGUUUAAAAGCACUGCCUGUAAAAUUAGCAACUAAACGCUUCCUUUACCAAAGUGCACAGGAACAGAGAAGGGGAUUCAUUUUCCUCUGCUAUAUUAGAACAAACACCUUGUUUCACCUGAAACUGUUGAGAGUUCAACACAAAUCCUAUCCACACAAACCAAAUCAAAUAACAGAUUAAAUCUAUCACCUGUGUUUUAUGAACAUCAGGCUAUGGAAAACAUACUAACACUGUGAUUGAUCCCUAUCCUCAUCUUGCAGAAAAACACAACAGAAGAAACCAUUUAUUUUGAAACUGUUAAAUAAAGAAGAGGGAAAGGUAGUUAGCACAAGACCAGAACUUAGUAUUUAAACUGGAAAUACUCUUCGGAUGUAUUUCAUGCUUUCAAUAAAGCUACAGUGUAUAUGAAGUCAACACUUUGUGAAAGAGAACACCAAGGGCAGAAGGCUCUAACAGCUGCAUCUCUGGUAGACGAUGCCAAAAGCUGAAGCACAAAAGAAUUGUGCUACGUGAAAUCACUAAGGUGGUAUCUGUUCUGCCAAACUCUGCACUCAUGCGACUACCUUGAGCAGACCUGAAACUCGCCUGCACAAGCCCAGGUCUUGCUAAGCAGCACUGCUGGUGUCUCUGUGCAGGUCAUGGACACACCCCCACACAGCAAUGUGUGCUGGUCAGACCACACAGACCUCUUGGCUGUGGCAGCUGGGCUGUAGCAGAUCUGAGCAAGCUUUUCCAAGAGCACCUCCUGUCUGCCUGCAGAAGAGCUGGAUGAUUUGUUUUGUUAUGAUACAGACAUAAUAAAACUACAGUUUAAAGGACUGUUUACCUUUAAGGCCUAUCUUUCAUGAUUCAUGAUAUAUACUCUAGAAGAAAAGGCACAUGCAUUUGCUUUAAAAAUUCUGCUGUUCCAGUAAACCUAAAAAACUUAAAUGUGAUUGAAUUGUGUUAUUGUGAGCCUAUUCAACUACAGUUUCUGUUGUAAACAGAAAACCUUUUUCCCCUCCUAAGCCCUAAAGUGAAAACCCCUGUAAUGACUUGAAAAGUUUCAUCUAAGACUUCAACCUUUGCAAAGAGAGAUUGCAACAAUAGUUUGUUUUUAUUGUUGAUUGUUUGUAUUAAUUUAAAAAAAAAUAUAUAUAUAUGAGCACAAUCCUAGCAAUAUCAAGAACUUAUUCAUAUCGAGAGUGAAGUUAAAAAGGGAAAUGAAAACUGGGGUGAUGGCUGGAUACUGGAAUGCAAAUCAACAGAUAAGCAUGAAAUAAGGGGAAGAGGAAUAGUCACUACAACCAACUAGCAUGAAGAAGCCCUUAAUUACCCUAAUAAGCAUCUGCUCAUUAUGCAGGUUUGUGAGAUUUUUUCAAGACUGAAAAGUUAAAUUUGAAGAAAGUGAACACCUACUGGGCCCAGACAGCAACCAAGUCUGAGAUACUUUUAGGCUCAGUAACAUACUUGGAUUCCCAUUUAGCCUUGUCUAGAUACCUGGAUUCCUAUUUAAGAUCACAUUGAAUAAGAGCAAGGAAUAGGCCAGCCAGCCUCUUAUGUCAAUAGCCUUUUUUGUAUCAUCUUGAUUUUCCUCAUCUCAACACUGCAGAAUUUGGUUUGUCUUUGCUGCCAGGAAUGCACAAGGACAGCAGAAACAUGGAAUGUUAAUGCACACACCAUAAAGAUACUGCACAGGAGUGUAAAAAACAAUCGUUCUGAAGAUCAAUAAACUGUACCAACUAUUUUUACAAGA
This is a long non-coding RNA of Haemorhous mexicanus (house finch), 5210 nucleotides long. RefSeq lists it as uncharacterized. The transcript is spliced from 3 exons. Lineage: Eukaryota; Metazoa; Chordata; Aves; Passeriformes; Fringillidae. The record is from RefSeq and is a predicted model, not a curated record.